CCUGCGACAGGACGGAAAGACCCCAUGGAGCUUUACUGUAGCUUGACAUUGGGUCUUGGUACUACAUGUACAGGAUAGGUGGGAGGCUUUGAAACCAGGACGCCAGUUUUGGCGGAGCCAUCCUUGGGAUACCACCCUUGUAGUACUGGGACUCUAACCAUAGGCCAUGAAUCUGGUCUUGGGACACUGUCAGGUGGGCAGUUUGACUGGGGCGGUCGCCUCCCAAAAGGGAACGGAGGCGCUCAAAGGUUCUCUCAGUACGGUCGGAAAUCGUACGUAGAGUGUAAAGGCA
RNAcentral lists this ribosomal RNA (292 nucleotides) under Clostridioides difficile. RNAcentral describes it as "partial 23S ribosomal RNA". It matches the Rfam family "Bacterial large subunit ribosomal RNA", at positions 2069 to 2359 of the family's 2925-position model. Lineage: Bacteria; Bacillati; Bacillota; Clostridia; Peptostreptococcales; Peptostreptococcaceae. The record is from RNAcentral.